RNAcentral lists this long non-coding RNA (314 nucleotides) under Nicotiana benthamiana. RNAcentral describes it as "long non-coding RNA (NBEN_LNC039402)". Lineage: Eukaryota; Viridiplantae; Streptophyta; Magnoliopsida; Solanales; Solanaceae. The record is from RNAcentral.
CUGAUGCCCCGGUGAGGAGUUGUGAGCGGCUGGCGAUGGUUGGCAUACAGCGAGGCAGAGGGUGGCCUAAGAGGUAUUGUGGAGAGGUGAUUAGGCAUGACAUGGCUAGAAUGCGGGUUUCUGAGGAUAUGACCCUUAAUAGGAAAGUUUGGAGGUCUAGUAUCAGGGUUGUAGGAUAUGGCUCCUAGAGUUUUUCGUACUCCUCACCCGGGGUUGGGUGAGGCUUGGCAGGGCUAUCCAUAGAUGAUUUGUGUAUUGGAUUGUGUCUCCCUUAUGGUAGUUAGUUAUGGUAGUUACUUUCUGAUAUUAUUGCA